Long non-coding RNA from Amphimedon queenslandica, 205 nucleotides. RefSeq lists it as uncharacterized. NCBI's taxonomy places the organism in Eukaryota, Metazoa, Porifera, Demospongiae, Haplosclerida, Niphatidae. The record is from RefSeq and is a predicted model, not a curated record. The transcript has 3 exons.
CUUUGAGUUGGUUUAUACCGAAAAUGAUGAGACUUUCGACACAUUUGAUGACCUUAGCAAGGAUGAAGAUACUGACAGUGAUACACAAAGCUCUGACAUAGAUGCAGAUAAAUAAACAGACAAUUCAGUAACAUAGGAGCUAUAGAUAUUUCAGAAGUUCUUAUUCCAGACUAUGUCAAUUCACCGCCUCCCCCUGUUAAAGAUA